GCCUGUUCGAGCGUCAUUAUAACCACUCAAGCCUAGCUUGGUAUUGGGGUUCGCGUGCUCGCGGCCCUUAAAAUCAGUGGCGGUGCGUCUGGCUCUAAGCGUAGUAAUUCUCUCGCUAUGGAGUCCCGGCGGUUACCUGCCAGAACCCCCCAUUUUUUAAGGUUGACCUCGGAUCAGGUAGGGAUACCCGCUGAACUUAA
Molecule: unclassified non-coding RNA, 200 nt
Filed under: soil metagenome
Description: partial contains internal transcribed spacer 2 and large subunit ribosomal RNA
Source: RNAcentral